This 961-nucleotide small RNA is filed under the name Malus domestica (apple). RNAcentral's name for it is "sRNA MD01G0147500". Lineage: Eukaryota; Viridiplantae; Streptophyta; Magnoliopsida; Rosales; Rosaceae. The record is from RNAcentral.
GGAGGAGAUUGGUCCAAUUUGACAUUGAGUACUGAGGAUUUCUUCAAUCUGAACGAGUCUCUUUUUCUCGGUUUCUCCAUUUUCUAAGGUUGUAUUUGACUACUUAAUGAUAUGGUUUUGGCUGAUGAGAAAAACUUGGCAAAGUUUAGAAAAUAUUUGAAUGUUGUGAUUUCCAUUGCAUUUCUCUCCAACCCCUGAAAGUGAAACUUAAGAUUUGAAGAUACUAUUUUGCUCGUAUUCUAUGGAGGAGGAAGCGGUCCGAGUUAUGCGGUUCUCGCAGCGGUACGUUCUACCGCCAGCAUCCUUCUAUUGUGCAGAUCACUCAUCCCCCGCGCCCUGAUAAGGCUCGCCAAUCGGGCUACAGGCCGAGCAGGCCUAUGUUGUUUACUGUGUACGUGUGAGUCGCGGUGGACAUAAGCGACCAGUUGCUAUAUUGUGUAUGGUAAACCCACAAACCAGUUCGUCACUCAAUUGGAAUUACAACGGAGCAAGCGCUGUUGCAGAGGAGUGCGCUGGCAGGAAACUAGGCGUCCUCACAGUUCUCAACUCUUACUAGGUUAAUGAGGAUUCAACAUACAAAUAUUAUGAGGUAAUCUUGGUUGAUGUUGCCCACAACCCAAGGAUAAGUUGGAUCUGCAAUCCGGUUCACAAGCACAGGGAGCUUCGCGGACUCACUUCUGCUGGAAAGAAGUGCAGAGGCUUGAAUGGCAAGGGACACUUGCACCACAAGGCACGGCCAUCGAGGAGGGCAAAUUGGAAGAAGAACAACACCGGAUCUCUUCCACGCUAUCGUUGAUUGUACUGACUUUUCUAGUUUAUAUUCGGUUUUAGGCAUUGAAAGAGAACCUGUCGAGUUUUGCUAUUGGUAAACUAGCUCUGAACUAUUUAUCCUACGAAUGCUUAAAUAAGUUGGUUUUUGCCCCUUCUAUAAGUUCCUUUUAUUUGUGCUUAGGCUAGCUCC